GUUCUGUGAUUGUUUGUUCAUGCCUGACACGUGCGUGAUUUUAAAUGACCUAACUUGUACUGCAUCCCCUCGUCUCCGUGCAUUUGUAUCGACUUCGAUAACCCACGUAUAGUAUAUGACUAUAAUAGUAAUUAUACAUAUAGCAUAAAGUCACAACAUGGUGUCAGAAGACGGAGUCACGGAAUAAUUUGCGGAUGGUAUUUUAAAAGUUAGCUAAAAAAAAAGUGCUAGCACGUGCGAACAUGGAGCAGUUCAAGCCGCCACCACCGUUGAUACUUACUGGGAAUAUAGCUGAAAACUGGAGAAGAUGGGAACAACGUUUCCAGCUGUAUAUGAUCGCUUCAGGUGCGUUGGAUAAGGAAGAGACGGUUAAAAUAGCCAUUCUGCUGCAUACUGUCGGCGAGGAGGCGCUAGAAGUGUAUAACACGCUCAGCAUCAUCCCAGAAGGAGAUGAAGAAACAAUGGAGGAAGUUCUCCAAGCCUUCACGGACUACUGCAGCCCCCGAAAGAACGUGGUUUUCGAACGCCAUCAAUUCUGGCCACACGUGAUGUCAGCAGGAAUAUCGGUGGACAGAAGAGCAAAGACUGAGUUUGUCAGAAAUGAAGAUGACAUGAUUUGGGAUAAAUGAGUGUUUCGCAUAAACGAUAUUCGUCUGAAGGAGAGACUGUUGCGUGAUAAUGCGCUCACUUUGCGCGGAGCCAUGGACACGUGCAGAUCAGCAGAGCUCGCUAAGUGACAAAUACAAGCGAUGCAGACGUCACAGGUUGUCCAAGACACCUCAGUAGAUGCUUUAAGGAAAGCAACAGGGCAAACGUGCACGGGCAGCUGGAACAAGAGCAAAACCAGCAGCAAGAGGCACGUAACGACUGUCUGCCAUAAAUGUGGAAACAAGCGCGAGCCCCGUCAGUGCCCAGCUUAUGGUGCAGUGUGCCAUAAAUGUGACGGGAGAUGUGGAGACUGCAGCUGUACCUGUAGCCAUGCAGCCGCCGCGCUUUGGAAGGAGAGCUCACGUCCUGCCUCUGGUCCAGUCAUCCCCUGCAUCACUUGUCAGAAGGAAGUUCCCUUUUCAGAGGUGAAGCUCCACAGAUUGAGCUGCAAUGGCGUUGUGACAGAUUUUGGGAAACCACUUAGAAUGAAGAUGGAUGUAAGGGAGUCUGAAGAGGACCGGGAACGGGAGCUUCUCUUAUUCUAUAAACAGCAGCAAGAAUGGGCAUGUCCUCUUCAUUGUACUCUGGUUGGUGAUGUUGCUGUUGGAGAGGGAGUGAUGCGGUACUUUAUGACAACAAUCAUAUCCAAACUCCAGUUUGGAUUCAGUCUAGAUCUUGGAGGAAUGGGCCGAACACUGCUAUUUGAGGGUGAACCUGACCAUCUUGUUCCAGCAGCAUCAGAGGCACUUAUUGAAAGCAACCUCUUCUGGGUUGCAGGAAGGAUGUUGGCCCACACCUUUCUGCAUGACGGUCCCCAUGUCACAGGAUUAAGUCCUGCUGUAAUUCAUGUACUGUUCAAUGGGGACCCUGAAAUGGCUACUGUUGUUGUUGAAGACUGUCCUGAUCUGCACAUCAGGAGCAUCAUAGAACUUUUAUGUAACCUAAAAGAAACUUUGCCAUGUAAAAAAUAUUGCUUGGGCAGAUAUAAUAAAUAGUAUGGUCCUUAUUCUAUCUUGAACAAGAAGAACUUGUUCUUGGAACAGAAAGAAACAGUUUCAGAUCUUUCCAUGUCUUGGGAUCAUCCGGCAGUCACCAAAACAAAUCGGAGAUGGCUACAUAAUAAACUUCUACUCCAUGCAGUCGUUGGGAGGACCAUGCGCCAAAUUAAACAGUUGACAAAGGGACUGAAAGAUGUGAUGGUAUGGCCCCUGCUGACAUCUAGGCCAGAUGUUGUCCCACUUCCUUUCCCCAAAAUGGCUGAAAUGCAGUUCACACCCCAGAUGCUCCUAGAAAAAUCACAUGGCCAGUUGAGGACAGUGAUGAUGAAGACUUUGACUUGGACACCACCUGCCGCUUCACUGGCUUUCUAAGGAUGUUCAUUGAAACAGCUUCAUCAGGUACCCUGGCCCAGCUGCUGACAUUCUGGGUUGGCUGGGAGAUGCUUCCUCCUGAACUGACAGUGGAGAUUUCUGAGGGAACCCUUCCUAUGUCCUCCACAUGCUUUGAAACACUAAACCUGCCAUCCAUCCAUCCAUCCAUCGUCAAACCGCUUAUCCUGCAGACAGGGUCGCGGGGGGGCUGGAGUCCAUCCCAGCCAACUUUGGGCGAUAGACCGGGUACAUCCUGGAUUGGUCGCCAGCCAAUCGCAGGGCUAACACAGAGACAUACAAUCAUUCACACUCACACAUCUACGGGCAAUUUAAAGUCCCCAAUUAACCUGAUCCCCAGAGCAUGUCUUUGGACUGUGGGAGGAAGCCGGAGUACCCGGAGAGAACCCACGCAGACACGGGGAGAACAUGCAGACUCCACACAGAAAGGCCACUGGGCAGAGUCAAACCCAGGACCUUCUUGCUGUGAGGCGACAGUGCUAACCACCACGCCACCGUGCCGCCUAAACCUGGCAGCUCAUUUCAAAAUCUACAUGGACUUUGAGAAAGCACUUGUCGCUGCUAUAAAAAGUACUGGAUUUGGGCUUGUUUAAGUUUUUUCAGACAGAUGUCAAUUAGGGCAGGGCAAUAUUUCAAUAUUAUAUCUAUUGUGAUUUUGAAGCGUAAUAUUGUUACAUGGUAAGUUUAGUCUUUUCCUGGUUUCAAAGGCUGCAUUACAGUAAAGUGUCAUUUUCUGAAUUUACCAGACUGUUCUAGCUGUUCUAUUAUUUGCCUUUAACCACUUAGUCAUUAUAUGCACAUUAUGAUGGUUAUUUUUCAGAAAUUUAAAUGUGGAAGAUAUUUUGUGAAUGAAUCAAUUGUCAACCAUACAAUAUCGUCAUUGAGGUGUUUGGUCAAAAAUAUUGUGAUAUUUGAUUUUCUCCAUAUUGCCAGCCCUAAUGUCAAUGCCUACACUGUUCAGAUGAAUUGACACAAGUUCAGUGUCUUUGAAAACUUUGAUUAACACACUGUGCACAGUAGUUGACUUUUUAUUUUAUUUUUAUUCUGCACAUUAUAUAUAUAUAUAUAUAUAUAUAAUAUUUUUAUUUAAAAAAAUAAAUAUUUUAUAUAUAUUAUAUAUAUAUAUAU
Long non-coding RNA from Gasterosteus aculeatus aculeatus (three-spined stickleback), 3164 nucleotides. The record is from Ensembl. Lineage: Eukaryota; Metazoa; Chordata; Actinopteri; Perciformes; Gasterosteidae.